CCUACGGGGGGCAGCAGUGAGGAAUAUUGGUCAAUGGACGAGAGUCUGAACCAGCCAAGUAGCGUGAAGGAUGACUGCCCUAUGGGUUGUAAACUUCUUUUAUAAAGGAAUAAAACGAGGCACGUGUGCCUUUUUGCAUGUACUUUAUGAAUAAGGAUCGGCUAACUCCGUGCCAGCAGCCGCGGUAAUACGGAGGAUCCGAGCGUUAUCCGGAUUUAUUGGGGUUAAAGGGAGCGUAGAUGGGUUGUUAAGUCAGUUGUGAAAGUUUGCGGCUCAACCGUAAAAUUGCAAUUGAUACUGGCAGUCUUGAGUACAGUUGAGGUAGGCGGAAUUCGUGGUGUAGCGGUGAAAUGCUUAGAUAUCACGAAGAACCCCGAUUGCGAAGGCAGCUUACUAAACUGUGACUGACAUUGAUGCACGAAAGCGUGGGUAUCGAACAGGAGUAGAUACCCGAGUAGUC
Molecule: ribosomal RNA, 460 nt
Filed under: uncultured bacterium
Lineage: Bacteria
Description: partial 16S ribosomal RNA
Rfam family: Bacterial small subunit ribosomal RNA
Source: RNAcentral